This is an unclassified non-coding RNA of Cebus imitator (Panamanian white-faced capuchin), 299 nucleotides long. It matches the Rfam family "Metazoan signal recognition particle RNA". From Rfam's summary of the family: The signal recognition particle (SRP) is a universally conserved ribonucleoprotein. It is involved in the co-translational targeting of proteins to membranes. The eukaryotic SRP consists of a 300-nucleotide 7S RNA and six proteins: SRPs 72, 68, 54, 19, 14, and 9. The record is from Ensembl. NCBI's taxonomy places the organism in Eukaryota, Metazoa, Chordata, Mammalia, Primates, Cebidae.
GCCGGGUGCAGUGGCACGUGCCUGUAGUCCUAGCUACUCAGGAGGCUGAGGCUGGAGGAUCACUGGAAUCCAGGAGUUCUGGGCUGUAGUGCACUAUGCUGAUUGGGUGUCCGCACUAAGUUCGACAUCAAUAUGGUGACCUCCCGGGAGUGGGGGACCACCAGGUUGCCUAAGGAGGGGUGAAGCGGCCCAGGUCGGAAACGGAGGAGAUCAAAACUCCCGUGUUCAUCAGUAGUGGGAUCUUGUCUGUGAAUAACCACUGCGCUCCAGCCUGGGCAACAUAGCGAGUCCCCAUCUCU